Molecule: ribosomal RNA, 50 nt
Filed under: Trichoderma reesei
Lineage: Eukaryota; Fungi; Ascomycota; Sordariomycetes; Hypocreales; Hypocreaceae
Description: partial 5.8S ribosomal RNA
Rfam family: 5.8S ribosomal RNA
About the family: 5.8S ribosomal RNA (5.8S rRNA) is a component of the large subunit of the eukaryotic ribosome. It is transcribed by RNA polymerase I as part of the 45S precursor that also contains 18S and 28S rRNA. Functionally, it is thought that 5.8S rRNA may be involved in ribosome translocation.
Source: RNAcentral
AAAACUUUCAACAACGGAUCUCUUGGUUCUGGCAUCGAUGAAGAACGCAG